AUUAGCUUCCCCACUACCACAUGUAUACUGCCUACCGACACUUUCAACAUAUUGUACCACUGACUCCCUACCUACCACUUCCCUUAAUUCCUGAGAUAAGUCAGUCCACCACCUUGAUUUAUCUGUUUUCGUCUUCAUCUUCCUCAUUUUUUCGGCUUUUUUAUUUUAAUCCAGGAAAUCGUCAACCAUAUAAUUAGAGAAAUAGGUCAAAGACCAUAUUACUUCAAGGUGGUAAAGAACACUGUGCAGGAUAUUGCAGAGCACGAGAAUAGGGCUGAGAGGCGCACGGCUAUACCCUAAUGAAAAAACUCUCCAAAGGAGAGAGCAAAGAAGCGUACAAGUGGCGCUUGGAGAUGACCACUCAUUCAGGCUCAAGUUUGAGCAAUUUUUUAUUUUUAUUUUUAGGAGGAGAUAGAUUAAACAGGACCCAAGUUUGAAGGUUUUCUUUUUCUUUUUUUUUUUAAGUAAGGUGGAAAUUUUAUUUCAAGUAAAAAUAAAUUAAAUAAAUACACAACUUGAUACGGCCACUGAAAACAGUAAAAUAACCUGAUAGAAUUCAUUAAAACAAAA
Long non-coding RNA from Gossypium arboreum, 570 nucleotides. RefSeq lists it as uncharacterized. NCBI's taxonomy places the organism in Eukaryota, Viridiplantae, Streptophyta, Magnoliopsida, Malvales, Malvaceae. The record is from RefSeq and is a predicted model, not a curated record. The transcript is spliced from 2 exons.